CUUGACAAAAUAUAAGAGGUCCAGCCUGCCCAGUGAUAAAUUUAACGGCCGCGGUAUCCUAACCGUGCGAAGGUAGCAUAAUCAUUUGUUCUUUAAAUGGGGACUUGUAUCAACGGCACCACGAGGGCCAUACUGUCUCCUUUCUCUAGUCAGUGAAACUGAUCUCCCCGUGAAGAAGCGGGGAUUUAACUAUUAGACGAGAAGACCCCAUGGAGCUUAAAACUCACUAUAUAAUUCUGUACCUUAUACCACCUUAAUUCAGAAUCCUAUAUACUAGUUUUAGGUUGGGGGGACCUCGGAGUAUAAUUUAACCUCCAUAACAAAUGGGCUAAUACCCUUAUCCAAGAUAAACACCUCUAAGAAUUAUCAAAUUAAUGUUUAAUGACCCGAUAUAUUCGAUCAAUGAAC
Molecule: ribosomal RNA, 408 nt
Filed under: Lithobates palmipes group sp. ABGD cluster 2
Lineage: Eukaryota; Metazoa; Chordata; Amphibia; Anura; Ranidae
Description: partial large subunit ribosomal RNA
Rfam family: Bacterial large subunit ribosomal RNA
Source: RNAcentral